GCGGGGGCGGUCCCGAGACCGGAGCGGGGCCGGGGAGGAGUCUGCGCCGGCGCCGGGAGGGCCUGGCGCUGGGCCAGGCGCGUAGACACUGGCGAACGCCGCUGCUGAGCAGUUCCCUCAGGAUGGAGCACCAGUUGCUAUGUGGUUGGUAGGACUGGACACCCAGCCCCGCCCCACUGCUGUGAGUCAGCCUCUGGAGGGAGUCCUUGACGCCACUGGCUUGAUGUGGACAAACAUCUAGAAAGAAGACUGUUUAUCCACACACAUCGCCCUCCAAGGAUUUCAGAGUAGCAUCAGCUGCAGUUCCAACUUAAAAGCAAAGGAUCGCCCCCAGCUGCUGUGUUCUUCAGGAGACAGGCACUCGCUGAGGCAGGGCCAUGCUCACAUUCAUGGCCUCGGACAGUGAGGAAGAAGCGUGUGAUGAGCGGACGUCCCUGAUGUCAGCUGAGAGCCCCACACCACACUCCUGCCAGGAUGGCCGGCAGGGCCUGGAGAACGGAGAGAAGGCUACCAGGCAGAGAAGCCAGGACAGUGAGGAGGACCACGAGGAGGACCUGGACCGCUACAUCUGCAGUGGGGUCCCCGGACAGCCGCUGGGCCUGGAGGAAGAGCUGACCCUCAAGUACGGGGCAAAGCACGUGAUCAUGCUGUUCGUGCCCGUCACACUGUGCAUGAUUGUGGUGGUGGCCACCAUCAAGUCCGUGCGCUUCUACACGGAGAAGAAUGGACAGCUCAUCUACACGCCAUUCACCGAGGACACGCCCUCCGUGGGCCAGCGCCUCCUCAACUCUGUGCUCAACACCCUCAUCAUGAUCAGCGUCAUCGUGGCCAUGACCAUCUUCCUGGUCGUGCUCUACAAGUACCGCUGCUACAAGUUCAUCCAUGGCUGGCUGAUCAUGUCCUCUCUGAUGUUGCUGUUCCUCUUCACCUACAUCUACCUUGGGGAGGUGCUCAAGACCUACAACGUGGCCAUGGACUACCCCACCCUCCUCCUCACCGUCUGGAACUUCGGGGCGGUGGGCAUGGUGUGCAUCCACUGGAAGGGCCCCUUGGUGCUGCAGCAGGCCUACCUCAUCAUGAUCAGCGCACUCAUGGCCUUGGUGUUCAUCAAGUACCUCCCCGAGUGGUCCGCGUGGGUCAUUCUGGGCGCCAUCUCUGUGUAUGAUCUCGUGGCUGUGCUGUGCCCCAAAGGGCCUCUGAGAAUGCUGGUGGAAACUGCCCAGGAGAGGAAUGAGCCCAUAUUUCCUGCCCUGAUAUACUCAUCUGCCAUGGUGUGGACGGUGGGCAUGGCCAAGCUGGACCCCUCCUCUCAGGGAGCCCUCCAGCUCCCCUACGAUCCAGAGAUGGAAGAAGACUCCUACGACAGUUUUGGGGAGCCCUCAUACCCUGAAGUCUUUGAACCUCCACCGCCUGGCCACCCAGGGGAGGAGCUGGAGGGAGAGGAGGAAAGGGGUGUGAAGCUGGGCCUGGGAGACUUCAUCUUCUACAGCGUGCUCGUGGGCAAGGCGGCAGCCACAGGCAGCGGGGACUGGAACACCACCCUGGCCUGCUUCGUGGCCAUCCUCAUUGGCUUGUGUCUGACCCUCCUCCUACUCGCCGUGUUCAAGAAGGCCUUACCCGCCCUGCCCAUCUCCAUCACAUUCGGGCUCAUCUUCUACUUCUCCACGGAUAACCUGGUGUGCCCAUUCAUGGACACUCUGGCCUCCCACCAGCUCUGCAUCUGAGGGGAGGCAUGGGCCCCGCAGGCUGGGAGCUGUCGGGCAAGUGACUGGAGGCAGCCAGCAGGUACUCCGGGAAGCAGCUCAUUCCUAUCAGUAAAGAGGUGAAUCCUGUGGCAUGUUGGUGUUUUGUCAGUUUGUAAGUGUUCACCCCUCUCCCUGCGUCUCAUGGCCACUCUUAGGAUAACAUAGGCUGUGGCCCGGAAGGAAGGACAUCUGCCAAGUUAUGAAGGAGGAGGCCUAACUGCCCCAUCCCUCUGCAACCAUUCAUUAUGAGAGGGUUUCUUGAGCAAAGGCAUGCAGAGAGCGUGAGGCCUGAUGGUGGCGGCUCAGAGCUGUCACGGGCUGCUGGUGCUGAGCAGACCCCUGCGCUGGCUGCAGCUGUUAAGUGUCGCCAGAAACAAUGCAAGGUGGCCCCCAGAACAGUGUCUGUCCUUGACAGAAGCCAGUGCACAGUCGGGGCCAGGUGAGAGCCCAUGAUCAGGAACUUGCUUUUGUUCUGUGGCCAUCUCAGCACCGGGAGGUGGGGCAGGCCGCGCAGUUUUCCUUCUCCUCUGCACCCGUCCCAGGUUGCAAAGAGAACCUCAGUAAUGCCUCUGGACCGGCACCCAAGCAUCUUGAAGCAGUGCUGGGCCAGCCGCUGGUCCCUCUGGGAAGCACAGUUGUCAGACAACUGAGAAAGUGCCGGUGCCCAGUAUGCAGUUCAACCUGGUAGCUUUGUCUCCUUACUCCAGAAAUAAUGGGGGUGCUGUGAAGCUGGCCAAUUACCAUGAGAGGAAUAAAAGAAUUACCUACUCUGAUGUUUGCUGUAGCUUCCUGUCCCUGGGCUGUUUGUAGCAGGGCAGAGGAUAGCAUGGGGGCCUGGAUGUGGCCUGCCAGUGGCGGUGUGCCCGUGCUCAGGUGCCGCAAUCUGGAGAGCGCUGACUGGCUGAACUGCCACCUGAGACAGGGUGGCAUCGCCAUCCUGAAGGGCAAAAGUAGGGAGGGUUUUAGAUGAUGACUGGUCCCUGCUGGUCAAAGCUCCUAGAAGGUAAGAGAGAAGAAGAACUUGGAGCUCAUUCAACUUAGUAAUUGAAGAGUAGUUUCAAAGAUACUACUUUGAAGAGUAUGUUUCCAAAGAUGAAAUUUGGUUAAGUGUUUUGAUUUGUUAGGUUUGAAGAGGUCUUCAUCAAAGGCCUGACCAGGGUGCUGGGGGAAGAAGCCAUUCAGGCAGCGGUGAAGCCCUGUAUUAAAGUGGUGAUGGUGAGGGAAGGAAAGAGGGACGGCGCGUAAGACUGCCUGUGAAGGCUGGGGACAGCGGACAGGAGGAGACCAAGGCCUGGAAGAAACUGCCUCCACAAGCUUGGUCCCUGGCUGGCUGGAAGACCGGGCACCCAGCACAGUAGAGGAGGGAAAACAAGAGAACAAGAAAAUAGAUAAUCCAAAUGUGGCGCACAGGACAGAGAACUGGUAUGCAAAUGCGUACAGCCCCCAUAACCAGCCACCAAUUCUUAACACUUUUUCCAUACGGGGCACACCUUAGAGAUACUACAGGCUUGGGUCCAGACCACUGCAAUAAAGUGAGUAUCACAAAGCGAGUCAUGAAUUUUUUGGUUUCCCAGUGCAUACAAAAGUUAUAUUUAUGCUAUACUGUAGUCCAUUAAGUGUGCAGUACCAUUAUGUCUAGAAAACAGUGUGCAUACCUUCAUCAAAAAACACUGCUAAAAAAUGCUAACCUUCACCUGAGCUUCCAAUGAGUCAUAUCUUUUUGCUGCCAAAGGUCUUGCCUCACUCUUGAUGACUGUUCCUCUCUUCUGAGCAGUAGGUCUCAACAGUGGCCUUAAAAUAUUCAGCAAACCAUGUUGUAAACAGAUGUGCUCUGUCAUCCAGGCUUUGUUGUUCCAUAUACAGAGUACAGGCAGGGUGGAUUUAGCAUAAUUCUUAAAGACCCUGGGAUUUUGGAGUGGACAGUGAGCACUGGCAUCAGCUUGAAGUCCCCAGCUGCAUUAGCCCCUGGGAGAGAGUCAGCCUGUCCUUUGAAGCUUUGCAGCCAGACAUUGAUUUCUCCUCUAGCUAUGGAAGAACUCAUCUUGAUAUUACCAGAUUCUUCGUUUUUGCUGAGUGGGCAUGUGUUACCUCCUUUAGGUUUCAGUUUGCACUGAGGUUAAGCAUCGUUGCACAGGUUUUGGCCCUGCUGGUUUCCUUGUCUGUUCAUAUCCUUUGCCUGGUUUACAUUUGGCUAAUUUGUGUUUUCCUUAUGGAUAUGUAGGUCUCUUAAAAUAUACAUCCUGGAGAGAUGCUAACCUUUAGUCAAUUAUGGGCAUUUCAGAUAUCCUUCCCAGGCUGGGGCUUGUCCACCCUCCCCCUUAGCAGUGCUUUGCCAGAGCAAAUUUCAUAUGUUAAUGUAUCAAUCUUUACCUUCACGGUUUAUGCCUUUGCCUUCUCUACCCCUGUUAAGAGACUUCUCUACCCUAAAGGUUUUCUGCAAGCUUAAAUAUUUAUUUUCAGAUUAAGAUUUUUAAUCCAUUUGAUAUUUAUCCUUAUGUAUCAUAUUUAUUCUGGACCCAAUUUUGUUUUUCUGCAUCUGUAAGGUGCGGUUCCAACUUGUCUAUCGAGCCUCUCCUCCUUUCCUGUGAGUUUGUACAACUCCAGCGGUACACCGAGUUCCCAUUAGCAGGUGGAUGGGCUGUAGGGCCCUCUCUUCUGUUCCAUAGGUACGAAUGCUGUCCCAUACCAGCACCUCACCACAUGGCAGAAGCAGAGGCAUUCGGUGGUGAAGAGAGAAAGUGGGGCUCCUCCAGGGGAGGGCCCAUUCCUGAAACUCUAGUUGCAGAGACAUGUGAAUCUGAAAUUAUGCCAGAUCUCCUAAAGUAGUAUAAAGCUACAAAAUUAUAAUAGCAUGGAAUUGCUGUAGGAGUCAACAUAUGUAUCCAUUGGAUAAAAUGAUAGUCCUGGAGUAAAAUCUGGUAUAACGAGUCUAACCCAAGCUCCAGCUUUUCUCUCCCUCUUUGAAGUGCUCUCUGCACUCCGUGGGAAGGAGGAUGUGGGGCACAGUGAAGCACGUCCACUCCUGAGCUGUGCCUCCUCCUGCCGCCUUCACUUCCUCCAUCACAGGUUCACUCUCCGUGUUGCACCCUGCAGCUCAUGACUGCAGUCCCUUCCACUGUGUGCCUCUGUGAGGACCUCAAGACGGGGCAAACCACUUCCCUGCCUUUCCUAUGGAGCAACACUGCCAGCUUUCAGAUCCUGGCUUUGUCCAUUACUGUGUGACCUGAAGGAAGUCCCAACUCCCUGAGAGUAGGAUUAGGCUUAACUGUCCAUAAUGUAAGCGGUGAUUUAACCAAGAUGGUAUUGUUCUCCCGCACACAGGCAGCUCAGGAAGGACAUGAUAGCUCAUGGUUUCAUGGCCAGGCUCCCAUCUUGUUUUGAUGUCCUCAGUAUGUGGGUUUACCUCAUGGCCCAAGUUGGCUGCCAAGCUCUAGCCAUCAAUUCCACACUACAUCUAACAUGAAAGGAUAGAGAGGGAUGCACUUCCCUCUCUUAAGGAUACUUCCCAAAAUUGCACACAAAAGUUGCUAAAGGGAGACUGGGAAAUAUCUUUACUUCAAGCAGCCAUAUGUCCAUCUAAAGAACAUAAGGAAGUGUGUGGUUAUGGUGUGUCUUCUGGUUCACCAACAUAGAGAUUGAAGUUACCAAAAUAAAUCGAGAAAAUGAGGUCAUGAGGGAUACUGUGAACCGCAAACUGAUGUCUCCAAAGAAGGUGGAAAUUGGCCUGGGAGGUGAACAGUGACACCACAGGGAUGAAGGUGGACUGUCAUCUCCGUUAAAAUCAGGCAGGGAGGGUGUGGAAAGACCCAGGCAGGAGGGUGUGGAAAGACCCAGGCAGGAAGAUGUGGAAAGACCAGGAUGACCACGAGCCAGGAGAUGGCUCAUCUUACGCCGUGUGUCCUGUUGUGAAAAAAUAUGUAAGGCAGUCAGGGUGCUGUGGCUGCAAAUACCUGGAGGCCUUAGUAGAGGGUGACACUGGUUAAAUUGGAGUAGGUCUUGUCUUAAUCUAGGCUCCAAUUGGCUCAGUCAGAAGUCCUUUAUCUUACACCUCAGGGCAUGGAGUACCACCAUGCUAGGUUUGUGGUUUAUUCAGCAAUUCAGUGAAAUCACUGAUGGCUGUUUCAUUCUCUCCAUGUUCCUCUCAGGUAUUUUUACCUGCACGGAGCCAGGUGCUGAGAGAGGAGAGGGGGAGGAAAGGAGAUGAGAGAGGAUGAACCUUACUGUGUCAUUUUUUUAAGUUCAAUGAAAAUCCUGCUCAGAAGUUCCCAGGCAGUUUGCCCCCUGAAUCUCUUCGGCCAGAAUGGUGUCACAGCCCCACGCCUAAACCAAUCACCAGCCCUGCAUGUGGAAUUGACAUGGCCAGCUGAGGCCAGUCAGAGUAUAACCCUGAGUCUCAUAGGGGAGGGCUGGAUACCUGAAAAGGAUCUGAGUUCUGUUAGCGGGCACAGAAGUCUCUAGGUGGACACCUAACUGUGACUGCUACAAUAGCUGUCUUACUUUUUCUGUAACCUAAGCCCCAUUUUGCCUGUUAGAAAAUAAACUGGUGAACUCAGUUUGAUGUGUCAAAUUCUUCUCCCUGGAGCAGGACCGAAGUGUGGGGAGGCACAUGUGGUCCUUUACUAGCACCUGUCUGCCUUGAUGGCUUUUUAAUUGUGGUUAAAAAAGUAAUAAAAUCUAUCAUCUUAAUAGUUUCUAAGUGUAUGGUCCAGUAGUGCCAAGCAUAUUCACUCUGUUAGGUCCUGUCUCCAGAACUUUCAUCUUCAACACUGAAACUGUACCCACUGGACAAUCCUAUCCCCCUCCCUGUCCAGCCCCUGACAACCACCAUACUAACCCCCCACACCCACACCCACACCCCAAUUCUUUGAUUUUGACAAAUACCGCAUGUAAAUGGAAUCACAGUAUUUGCCUUUUUGUGUCUGGCUCAUUUCCCUU
Molecule: RNA transcript, 6680 nt
Organism: Manis javanica (Malayan pangolin)
Lineage: Eukaryota; Metazoa; Chordata; Mammalia; Pholidota; Manidae
Gene: PSEN2
Gene name: presenilin 2
Source: RefSeq, a predicted model, not a curated record